This 622-nucleotide ribosomal RNA is filed under the name uncultured bacterium. RNAcentral's name for it is "bacterial SSU rRNA". It matches the Rfam family "Bacterial small subunit ribosomal RNA", at positions 100 to 713 of the family's 1533-position model. The record is from RNAcentral.
GAACGGGUGAGUAAUAUAUCGGAACGUACCUAGAAGUGGGGGAUAACGCAGCGAAAGUUGCGCUAAUACCGCAUAUUCUCUAAGGAGGAAAGUGGGGGCUCGCAAGACCUCAUGCUUUUAGAGCGGCCGAUAUCUGAUUAGCUAGUUGGUGAGGUAAAGGCUCACCAAGGCAUCGAUCAGUAGCUGGUCUGAGAGGACGACCAGCCACACUGGAACUGAGACACGGUCCAGACUCCUACGGGAGGCAGCAGUGGGGAAUUUUGGACAAUGGGCGCAAGCCUGAUCCAGCAAUGCCGCGUGAGUGAAGAAGGCCUUCGGGUUGUAAAGCUCUUUUGUCCGGGAAGAAACGGUUCUUUUUAAUAAAGGGAGCUAAUGACGGUACCGGAAGAAUAAGCACCGGCUAACUACGUGCCAGCAGCCGCGGUAAUACGUAGGGUGCAAGCGUUAAUCGGAAUUACUGGGCGUAAAGCGUGCGCAGGCGGUUUAUUAAGUCAGCUGUGAAAUCCCCGGGCUUUAACCUGGGAAUGGCCAGUUGAGACUGGUAAGCUGGAGUGUGUCAGAGGGGGGGUAGAAUUCCACGUGUAGCAGGUGAAUGCGUAGAGAUGUUGGGAGGAUUAACCGA